Molecule: ribosomal RNA, 433 nt
Filed under: uncultured bacterium
Lineage: Bacteria
Description: partial 16S ribosomal RNA
Rfam family: Bacterial small subunit ribosomal RNA
Source: RNAcentral
AACGAACGCUGGCGGCAUGCCUAACACAUGCAAGUCGAACGAGACCUUCGGGUCUGGUGGCGCACGGGUGCGUAACGCGUGGGAACCUGCCCUUAGGCUCGGAAUAACUCCCCGAAAGGGGUGCUAAUACCGGAUAAUGUCUUCGGACCAAAGAUUUAUCGCCUUUGGAUGGGCCCGCGUGGGAUUAGCUAGUUGGUAGGGUAAAAGCCUACCAAGGCGACGAUCCAUAGCGGGUCUGAGAGGAUGAUCAGCCACACUGGGCCUGAGACACGGCCCAGACUCCUACGGGAAGCAGCAGUGGGGAAUAUAGGACAAUGGGCUAAGGCCUGAUCCAGCUAUGCCGCGUGAGUGCUGAAGGCCUUAGGGUUGUAAAGCUCUUUUACCCGGGAUGAUAAUGACAGUACCGGGAGAAUAAGCUCCGGCUAACUCCGUG